Molecule: long non-coding RNA, 1217 nt
Filed under: Sus scrofa (pig)
Lineage: Eukaryota; Metazoa; Chordata; Mammalia; Artiodactyla; Suidae
Description: lncRNA (ENSSSCG00040065063.1)
Source: RNAcentral
GCCUGGCGUGGAGGGUUUGCUGCUGUCUGGCUCUCCCCUGUUCCCCAGCUUCAGGUCUCAUCUCUUCCCACCGGGCUCCCUGUUUCAUUCACACGCAAACCGUUUAGUUCUCACAAUGCUGGGAAGGUGCUUGCAUCCACGUGUCUGUGCUUAUUAUUCCUUCUGUCCAGGACACCUUCCGUUCCCCACCAUAGACAUUCUCUGCCCCCAGGUCAUCUCAGAUCCCAGGUGAGAGUUUAUGCUCUUAAGGAAGGCUUCCCUGACCCCAAGCCUGGGCUAGUGGCCCUCCGAGGCCUUUCCCCUCCCAGGGCCCUCACCACACCUCGUAACUGCUGGCUCCCCUCGCCGUCUCCCCCACAGACCAAGCUCUGUGGAAUCAGAGUCUGUCUGGGUGACUGUUACACGCCCAGAGCUGACAGCUUGAAUAACAAUGAACUUGAGCAUGGGGUUCAUGGAUUUGUGAGGCUGGCUUUGUGUUUUGCUUUCACAGGUCUCCUGCCUCUCUCGCUUGAGAGACCAGACGGCCAGUCUUCUCUCCCUGCCACACCUGAGACGCUCAGCUGGGAGCCCUGCAUUUCUCUGUCGAGGAAAACAGUGAUUCAAACAAGGGCAAAGACUUUGCUCAGCCAGUGGAAAACUUGACAUUGUCUGGUACUUGGAAAAGACCCUCCUUCUGACUCCUCUUGGUCUCGCAUAAAAGGAGGAGAUUCCUCGGAAGGUCGAGGUGCUUCUGUAAUUGGGACUGGUGCCUGGUACCUUCUGGAAAUAGCUUUGCUUCCUGAAGGAUGGGUGUGGGAAAAGAUUAUAGAAAGAUUAGCUGCCUGUGGGCGGGGGAUGCCUUGCGGGAGGGUGUGACUUAGGAUAAAUUAAAAGCAAUUGCAUGUCCAGUGGGUAAAGUGGAUAAGGCCAGAUUCUGAAUCCCUAAGACACACUUAACAUUUUCUUAUCAAAAUUUAUUCUGAGAAUCUUCACUGUACUAAAGUUAUUUCAAGUCAGCUUGUUGGUGCCCUCUUCUAGGAAGCCUUCCCUUAGCCCCCGCCCCUUAUAGUUUUUUAUUUCCUCCCCAUCUUUAUUCAAUAACUAGGGUGACCAGAUGUCCCAAUUUACCCAAACGGGUCCUUGUUUGUACCUGUUGUCCCACAUAAGCAUUAAUAGCACACUCUUUCAUUCUCCUAAGUAUCCUGGUUUGGACAAUAAAUUGAAUGGUCACCUUAUCA